RNAcentral lists this unclassified non-coding RNA (263 nucleotides) under Neurospora terricola. RNAcentral describes it as "partial internal transcribed spacer region". The stretch from base 1 to 46 matches the Rfam family "Eukaryotic small subunit ribosomal RNA", at positions 1786 to 1831 of the family's 1831-position model. RNAcentral also lists the same sequence under 1 other name. The record is from RNAcentral. Lineage: Eukaryota; Fungi; Ascomycota; Sordariomycetes; Sordariales; Sordariaceae.
AAGUCGUAACAAGGUCUCCGUUGGUGAACCAGCGGAGGGAUCAUUACAGAGUUGCAAAACUCCCACAAACCAUCGCGAAUCUUACCCGUACGGUUGCCUCGGCGCUGGCGGUUCGGAAGGCCCUCGGGCCCCCGGAUCCUCGGGUCUCCCGCUCGCGGGAGGCUGCCCGCCGGAGUGCCGAAACUAAACUCUUGAUAUUUUAUGUCUCUCUGAGUAAACUUUUAAAUAAGUCAAAACUUUCAACAACGGAUCUCUUGGUUCUG